Molecule: non-coding RNA, 955 nt
Organism: Paramuricea clavata
Lineage: Eukaryota; Metazoa; Cnidaria; Anthozoa; Malacalcyonacea; Plexauridae
Source: the annotation of a GenBank genome assembly
AUUUUGUAACAAUAACAUUUAUUAAUAUAAAGAAUCAGAUAAUUGUAAUUACACUGUAAACAUAUGGUUAUAUAAUAUAAAUAUAUACAAUCGCAAUAUUAUAGGAUAAUAAUCAAUAUACUCCUGGUUAUAAUCUCCUGAUUCAGUAAUAUAGUUUUUGAUGUAAUGACAGGUUGAAAACGUCUUACAGAGGAUUACCUCGUACGUGUUUAUGGAAUGAAAAUCUCACCAAAUUUUGCUAUGACUACAUUCACUAGCAAAUGCUCGAAUUGACUAAAUAACUUCAGAUAUAUUGAGUUACUUUCCAUACAUUACUGGCCCGAAAUCACGUCAUGAGAAUAUAGCUCAGGGGGCAGUUGUUCAAAGCUGGGUUAGCUUAACUCUAGGUUAACUUAAAAUUCAAAGGAAACUUAGCCGCCAUGAACUACUAGAUAUCAGCCUUAAGACUGAUAUCUAGUAGUUCAUGGAGGUAACACAUUGGACUUACAUUUAACUCCGUAAAGACAACGAAAUGCCUAUAGUGCUAUUAUUAGUACGGUUUUUAGCCUUCGUACACAGUGGAGAACAAAAUACUACUAACUGUAUUUUGUGCAAUUGUAGAAUUUGAAAACUUAUUAAACAAAACUUUUACCUCUGGAUGAGUGUUCAGUUUUAUAAUUUUUUAAAAAUUUUACAUCCCACUACAUUUCCAUGCAAAUACAGAAAUAUUUGAAACAGAAAACUGAAUCGGGUUAAAUUACAAUCAGGAAUUUUACUUACGAUUUUUCGUUCAAUUUAAUCAAAGUAGCAACUAAAAUAAAAUGCUAUUACAAUAUUUCACAUACAUUAGUACAGUUUCUUUGUAGAAGUAUGAAUGAAGAUUUUCUUCAAACAAAUUGGCCGUUAUUUUUGAAAUAAUUGAGCAGAAGAAAGGCCAGAAUCAUGGCGACAAGCUAAACAUAAAAAUACAUUUUUU